Long non-coding RNA from Gallus gallus (chicken), 1191 nucleotides. RefSeq lists it as uncharacterized. The record is from RefSeq and is a predicted model, not a curated record. The transcript has 2 exons. Lineage: Eukaryota; Metazoa; Chordata; Aves; Galliformes; Phasianidae.
AGGGACAGUGACCCCACCACAUCACACUUCAGAUGAGAGUUCAGAGCAAACAGUUUCUCAGGUUUUCCCUUUCCUGUUGUUCUCUCUCCAUAGCAUAGUGGUCCAUCUGAACUUGUUUUGACAUCCGUAUAAAGACGAUAGCAUUGACAUGCCCAAGUACUGAUCCAUCUGCCUAGAGAUCCAGCUUAUUCCUAAAUUGCUCAAGUACGCCUCAUGCCACAGGAUCACAUACUCUGCCGAGGGCAUACAUCUUGGCAACAAGUCUGUGCUGAAAGGGCUGAUUGUGAUGCAUUGUUGUGUCUGUAGGCACAUGCUUUGCCUGCUCGGGGCAAUGAUGCUGCUCAUUUCAGCUUAAAGGCAUGGGGCAUUUCCAGGUACCAGCAGUUCAUUUCAGGGGGGUUGCAUGCUCCCCUAAUCAGUUGCCCUGCUAAGUAAGUUUGCCUUUCACCACCCUAGUAAAGCAAUGCCUCCUGGAAUCAUAGAAACCCCUCUGUGCAAGUUUGCAUUUAAGUUCUGUAUGUUUCUAUUAAUUUGAAUGGAGAAAUGGUUGCCAGGAAACAUGACGAGGCAAAGACAAGAAAGAUACAGCCUAAGAAGACAUUAAGUGAAAGCUUUCCAAGGAGUGAUAAGCUCUGGAGACUGGUAAUCCUGAUGAGCUUACAAGAACUGAUAGACUCCAGAGCCUGAUGUUGAACAAGGCUGCCAGCAAACAUCAGCAUCUUCAGCAGGUUGUAUAACUCAGAUCACACCCACGAGGGCACUGGCUGCUGCAUGCAAGUGAAGACUAUGGAGUCAUGUAUGCACCUGGUGAAACAAAGCGCCCUCUGAAGGGAUUUCUAAACACCUGCCUAGAACCCACUGGUGCAUCAGGAUGACCUCCUGCUUCUGAGCAAACACGCUGGGGUUGGCCUCCCAGCUCCAGCUGGGCAACAACAGUGAAUGUGUCUCCACAGGUGAUGCCUCAAGGCUGCUGCUGAUGUCCAGGGAAACUAUGCAGAUUCAGCACUCCUAAUGUGGAAAAACAACCACGUGUUACAAAUUGCAUCGCGCCAAAAAAGAUAGCAGCAACAUUUUUACCUUGCAAGCCUCCCCCUGGAUAUGCCUCCAGGUAAUCUGUGUACCCAUCUCUCUGGGACUGUCAUGUCUGUACCUCCACUUAAGGAGCAGAUUUCUCCAUACGUGCAUAAAGAA